Molecule: long non-coding RNA, 8610 nt
Organism: Equus caballus (horse)
Lineage: Eukaryota; Metazoa; Chordata; Mammalia; Perissodactyla; Equidae
Source: Ensembl
CUACCAUUAGUGAUUUCAUUUAAACAAACAAAAACAUUGCCAUCUCACUGCCAUUUCAGGGGUGAGGAAAGAGGCCGAGAGAAGAACCCACUCAGAAACCACUAUUUGAUUAAAGGACAUCGUGAAACCCCCAGGUGGGAGCAACCAGCACGUUCUCGGGGACUGGCAUCGCCAUGGCUUUGGGAGAAAUGUUUUUCUAGCUAGGGCAGGGCAAUGCACCCCAGUUCACUUUAUUAACAUGCUCAGCAAAGCUUUGUUGACGACCUACUAAGUUAUAGGUCAGUUCUCAAGGAGGCGCCUUACUUACCAUGCCGGGCUGCAGUAUGCCGUCGCCCCAGGUGGCCCCCACACUCGCUGGCUUGGCGAGGCAAGGGUCUGGGCUCCAGGCAGCUUCCAGACCCCCAGACCCCCCGGUGGUAUAGAAGAAGUCACCCUUGGCAGCAGCCCCUCCCCAGGUUAAAUGUGCACAUUCUUGAACAGAGACACAAGCUCAACCUAACAGAAUCGUGGUGUCCCAAGAACGCAAGAAACUCACCCCAAACCAGGAGGUGGCGACGGGCACAGGGUGGGCGUGAGGCGCCAGGCGGCCAUCAGGAAGGACGUGGUCCAGGGUGGGGGUCCUCCGGGGGUUCUUCCAUCCCUUCCGUCCAGUUCUUCAGCCAACCCGACCAAGUUGCAGCCCAUGUCCCAAGGACGGGGCCGACCUUGGGGAGGGACAGAAAGUUAGAAAGAUCGAAAGACAAGCACCCCAGAAAAACCACCAACACCCCAAGAAAAAGCACAGAGCCCAAUCUCACCUGUGGUGUGGUUGUCAGUGGAGGGAGGGGUCCAAAUCACACACCUCAACUCAAGAGGGAGACCUUUGUGGCCAGAGCCCGAAAGGACACACACCACACUGUCCUAUAUUCCCACCUUGGUCCUGAGUUCAGGGCCAGGGGUCCAGGACAGUCAUCAGCACUCAGCGACAGGAUGGAGUGCGGGAGGCAGAGAGAGCAGGCGGGGCUGGCUCGGACCAGCGGCAAGCACAGGCAGUCUGAGGUUCCUCUGGGGUUUGAAUUAAAGGUUCCAAAGGAAGUCCAGCCAGGCCCGCCCCUCGCACCGUCCUGCAUGCCUACUACAGAGCGGGGAAUCCACCGCUCCAGCGCCUGGGACAGCCGUGAGGCCGCCUGUGGCAGAAGCAACCCCCCGGCCUGCCCUCCCAGGGGUGGCAGAGGCCAUCAAGGGACGCGCUAGCGUGGCGGGUGCCCAGCCCGUGCCGGGCUGUGGGCUUGCUGAGUAAGGAUCAACUGUUGAAUGACGGGAUGAACGCAUGAGUGAAUGAAGGCGUGAGACCAGCAAGACCCCACUCAAACGGGGCUGAGGAUGGGGCGACACCCAUUCCGCAGUCAAAGCAAACGGCCCCUCCACCCUUUUGACCUCAAACUCCUUGCACCCCGAUGCCUCCCGUCUAGCAGCUCAGGUGUGGUGGCCGAGUUCCUUCAUUGACUCACCUGUCCAAACAGACAUCCCACAUACUCUUACUGAGCCCCACUUUUUUGCCAAGCUGGUACUGGGACACCCCAAGGAGGUGUGGGCUGGCCUAGGGUACCCCCAGAGGAUGGGGUUAGGACAUGAUGGAGAAGCAGGGGAGACGAAGGGGAGAUGGAGAACAGAAACGGAGGCAGGAAAAGCAGAAAAACAGAAACUCAGAAUUGGGGGCAUCUCCUGGCCUCACUCCUCUGGUUUCCCAUCUGCUUAAGCUGCCUCCUCCCACAUCUCCUGAGCCUCCAGGACUGACUUAAUGACGGAUCUUGAGACCAGUGGGCUCCAGGGGUCAGGUGACCAACACGGGAAGCCUACAGUGGGCUGGAGAUGUGGUGCAGGGGUCCUGAGUCCACAGGCAGCUGAGAGCCGCGUCCAUCCCAGGCAUGAAAGGGGUGCCACAGAACCAAGAAGGCAAGUUAAAAGGGGCAACCCCCCCACUCAAGGAGGCAAUCAGCUCAGAUUCUCUGCUGGUGGCCUCAGGAAAGUUUAAGACGACUGCCUGCUUUCCAGAAACCCAAGCAGGAGUCCGGCUGGGAGUUUCACCAUGUGGCAGGCGCUGUUAGGGUCCUGGGAGUAAGCACACCCUGAAGAUCCUGGCCGACUCAUGCCUUCCACCCCCUCCCCAGGUUCUCAAAUGCUGGCAUAUUAAUGGCUUUGGGGCUCAUCUUUUAAUUAUCAGUGGUGUUUGAGGGUGGGAAGGGUCCUGUGAUUUUGUUCCUAUUUAAAAGUCCUCACUUAGCAACCCCCAGAACUGCUCUUCUUUCACUCUUCAAUGACUGCGUGGGGUAGUGGGGUAGGUUUCUGUGGGAUCACCAUUUUCAGAGGUGCUCAACCUCAUCCUGGUUCCUAAUCCGGGCGACCUCUGGGUCACCUCCACCCAAAGGGGUGGAAUCACCCCACCCAGCCACCUAGACAUCCUUCGAGAUUUUUUGGGGAUGUUGGACAAGAGUUGGUUUUGCUAACUUGGAAAACAUGUCUAAUUCUGACCCAUGAUGCCAGGGAACCUUUAGCCAAGAGAUAAGUUAAGGGAGGAAGUUUUCUACUAAUAAAAUUUUCUGGCUCCAACCACCUCGCUUCUCCCUUAGUUUUCUUCCACUUGGCUGAAAGUCUGGCUAAAGCUGGAAUUAAAGUUUAAUUGGAGUGAUCUGAUCUUGAUUGAUCUGCCUUGGGGUGAGAAAUGUCCACAAUUCGGGACACAUAAGGGCAGACUUGAGGCACACCUGCUCUAGAGACAAGAAUGGGCUCUGGGGAGCUCAAGGGUCAGGACAGAAGGGGGAUUCAGGCGGGCUGCAGGACACAUGGGAGAGGGCGACGUUGGGGCGUGAAAGGAGCGUCUACAGGUUCUGAUGCCCGAUCUGAGCUGUAAUGUUCCCUCUGGCACUUGGUUCGCUGAGUGAUCCUAACACACUGCUGGACUCUGAACCUCUCUAACAGCAUUCGGGAGCCAAACAUGGACCCUAAAGCACACCCUUCCAGGGGGUGGCCCUCUGGGGCACCAACAUCCAUCCAUUUCUUGACCUAAGUGGAGCAUCCCAUGGGUGUUGACUUUGUGAUAAUUCCACCGGUUCUACCCCUAUGACAUGGCACCAUUCUACCUUUGGUAAUCUUGAGUAAGUGUGAAUGUUCAGUGGUCCUGGAACAAGUCAGGUGCGUGCCGGACGGGGAAAUGUGUGCUCUCAGUCCUCAGCCCUCGGAGAAGGAACCCAAGAGGUGUGACUCGCCCUUGCCCUGGGUAUAGGGUCGAACAAAGAAACUUUCCACAAAGCAGCCCUAUCUGCAGCCCGCUUCCCAAAGCUGCCUUCAACUUUCAACCCCGCUCAAUGGACUGCUCGCAGGGAUGGAGGCAAAGACUUAAAGGGGGAGCAAAUGAAACCUCAGCUCCAGCCCCAAAAUUAGAAGUGUGGGCGAAGAAGCGAGUGGCCCUGCCCUGUGGACGCCAGUUCACCUCAUUAUGAUAAUCAGUGUGUUUUUCCUUUGCAGACAAAGAAGGCUCCUUAUGAGACGAAUAUUGGAAUCCAGCGGCUACCUCAUUAACGUCUGCAGCCUCCUCCUUGACAGGGCCUAAGAUUAGCCCUGUGUUCAUUAAGGGAAAAGGGCGGAAAGUGGAAUAAAACUGAAAAACACAGCUGGGGGGAGGGGUGGGCUCUUUCUGUCAGCCAUUCAUUCAUUGAAAGACUCCUGUGCACCUUGGGGAUUUAAUCACCAGCAAAGGGGGGGCAGGGGGGUCUAACCAGGAUGCAGGAGGUAAAGAGGUUAAACUUGAUAGAAGGAGUUAAAAACCCAAAAUGGGGCAAUUUGAUUUGAAAGCUUCCUGGGAUUUGUCACUGGGAUAAUCAAUUUAAAACCUUUUUCCUGUUUACUUUCUUUCAGCCGAAACUGAAAACCUUUCUCUGGAUGUCUUUUUUGGUAGAUUUUAAUAUUCUCUAAACCUCUCCCCCCUACUUUUUUGUCUUUAGUGGGUUUUUCUGUAAAUUCUUUUCUUCUUUCUCUCCCACUCCCCCCCCCCCCCCCCGCCCCUCUCCACCUCUUUCUUCUCGCUUUGGUCCUCCCCAUGGGAACGGUUUCAACCUGUAAGGAAAUCUAAUGGGGACUCCAAUUAUAUUUUCUCCUGAAUACCUGAUUGACUUUAUUUUAAGUCUUUCAAAUCGUCUCUGGUUCUUACCUGCAAGAUAGCCCACCUCACCUGCCAGGUAAAGACGAUUAACCCUAUUUUACAACUGAGAAAAAGGUGGCUUGGGAAAACUGACCUACCUCAAGGCCCCAGCACUAAGUGGGCUAGCCAAGGCUCGAACCCAGGGCGAGAUGGCAAGAGGCAGCUUCCAGACAUUAGGAGAUCCGGAUAUGCAAGUUUCUGGGAAAACUAAGAAAUGAGGGAAGCCAGGAGCAGGUGUCCCCGUGAGGUCUACAGGGAGUGUGUCAACAGAAGUGAACCGGAGCCGAAAAGCUAUGUAAGAGAAAGAAUGAGUCCCUGUGUCCAAGAGCCAGACACGUGGCCAAGGUGAAGCUCCAGAAAAGUUAUUACCUUAGUGAGAGCCGCUCGAUGGAGUAGAGCAAGUCAGGAGGCAGUGGGUUGAAGAGGAAAUUGGAGGUGAGGAAGGAAGACAGCAAGUGAAGACAGGCCUUUCGAGAAGCUUGGCUGCGAAAGGAAAGAGAGAAACGGUAGUGGCUAGAAAGGAGGACAGAAGGGACCUGGGAGGCUGUGGAGAGAGCAAAGUUAGGAAUUCAGAGGAUAACCGAUGGUGGGAGGUCCAGGGCUGAGAUAGGAGGGACCAGAGCAGAGGGCACCCCUUCCUUUACAAGGUGAGAGGCGAUGGGGGUACACAUGUACGGUGGGACCCCAAUCUGAAAGGCCGCUUGAUGGCUCUGUUCCCCUAGAAGGUGCAGGCCAGCCCCGGGCCGGGACAGGGAGUUGUGAGGUUCAAAUGAAUUGUCGGUUGCCAGAAAGGGCUCUGCAUACUACACAGGAGACAGAAACGGGCACCGUAAUUACUCACUGGUAGCGGGACGCUCAAUUUUACAGCCCACUCCAAUCUCACCGGGGCCUGGACUUUCACUGACCAUAAAUUAUGCGUCCUUACAUUAAGGAUGUAAAAACCAGUGGUAAAAGCUCCUGCCAGCCUCUGGAAGACAAAAGGUGGCCUCCUAAUAGCCUGGAUUAACUCAAAGCAGAUCUCCGCCCACUUCAUUUGUCACCUUCCAAGUCAUCCUUCCACCUUCAUUUGCCACAUAAUCCAAUCAGGCCCUUUCAGAUGCCUGGGAGCUAUUGUCCACACCAAGCUGGGCUUCUGCAAGGCGGCCUGAGUUGUUUUUGUCUUGUCCGGACAAAACUGGUUGGCUUAAAAGGGGACGAAAGAAAGUGCUGGUCAAAUGAGGACCCCAAUUAGCUUCCAAGAGACUGUUUUCAUCAUCUUUGUAUCACAUCCCAGGCCUGGUGUGCUGGGCAUAUUGUCAGGGUUCCAGAAAAUGUUUGUUGAAUUAAUUCCGUUUUUAUUUCUUCUGGAAUUUACUUAUGGAGUGCAAACACACACAGCACCUACUGGGUGCUGGCUGUUACUACUGCGGGAGAAGAGGGCUGGGCAUGUGAAGGACGGAGGACAGCCUCCGGGGGAUAAGUAUCUCGCAAUUUCCACAGCAAUUUACAAAGCACUUUCAUAGCAGUUACAUCAUUUGGUCUUCAAAAGCGCCCUGUGGGGUAGAUAAACGCGGAGGUUUUUUUUUUUUUUUUUUUUUAAUCCCCAUUUAGACCAUGAAAGGAACUGAGACUCGGAGAAGUUAAGCGACUUGUUUAAGGUCACACUGUUACUGGGAGGUGGAGCCAGCACAGGGUACCAGCUCUGGGGCCACCCAGACCCCAAGACCACCCUGGGCAGCUGGGAUUUCAAAGAGACUGUCCCUUUGUCAAAUGUCUGACUGGACGUCAAAGGGCUUUUAAUAUAACUCUGGGCUAGGGGGUACAGGGCGGCUACAAUGGCACCCAGGAUCCAACUAUGACCUCUUCUCUUGCCAGCAGUGUGACAAAAUACUUACAUCCCUCCAGCCUCGGCGUCCAUCCUCACUGCCAACGUGGGUGACCCCUAUCCCGUGGGAGGGGCACUCAGCUUUCAUGAGUCCUCUUCCCCACCCACCUUUUGAAAAUUACUCAAAUCAAUGACAAAUUCAUUCUCAUCUGUAAAUGAGGCCGCCUCAUACACAUACUCCUAUGACAUAGAAAGAACAUUCAUCUACAUAGAAAGUGCUCUGGAAAUGACCGCAUGCAUAAUUCGUAUUCCUUCAGGUCAGCCCAGGACCCUCUGGUGGAGCCCCUACCUGAUGCAAGGAGAGCCUGGGGGACAGGGGCUGUCCGGAGUGCUGUGGGAGAACAAGUACGACAAGUGAGAGAGGUAGGAAUGGAUUGACCUGCCAAAUUUUUUCAACAAACAUUUGCUGACCGCAUCCUCUAUGCCCAGCCCUGCCCAAGGCUGCCUUCUCUCAUUUAAUACUCACAACAACCCUAGGAGGUUGCACUUCUCAUCCCCAUUGCCCAGAAAGGACGGGGGAUCUCGAAAGAGGGGAGCAUGCCUUUGGCAGUUCAGUAGCAUGACAUGAGGGCUCAUGCUCAUUCCACAAGCCCACCCUGGGCCUUGGAAUCGCCAGUGAGAUGCUAGAGGAGCCUCUGGCCUAGGUCCCCCUCCUGAGGAGUUCCCAAAGGGAUCUUUCCGUUCAGGACAUCAUAAGGGCAACAGCAGGGUCAGUGGAGAAAGACUGACGCCACCCUGAGGGAAGCGCUCCAGGUCGCCGGCACAUUAACACAGCAGAGACUUAUGGGAAAGUAUUCACAGAGACCAAGCACAAGCGUAGCAAAGAUCAGGGGUUAGCAGCCAGUGCCCCCUCACUAGGGCACUGGUUCAAGCCUUUAGCCAAGAGGGACAGCUGGCUUGUCAGUCCUGGUCCUCUUCAUCCCUCGUCGUCCUGGUCCUGGGGGUCUCUGCCAGCGGCUGCUUUGUAUGCUGGGGGGAUCCAGGAAUCGGUGCUCCUAGUGUCCUCUGCAAUUGAUCAAAGGUUAGAGGAGCCACUUAAAAGCCCAAGUCUACAUAUUAAUUAAAAUUUAAAUGAAUUAAUCACAACUAAAACUAAUUAGUUAAAAUUUAACAUUGUCUUUUAAUUGCUAAUGGGUCUGGGGGCGGUGCAAGGAGGGUGGCAGGGAUGGGGAAUUGUGCCCACCAUGUUGGGUAUAAACAGCCACAGGAGGGGUUAGGUACCAUGAGGUGGAGACGAGCCGCAAGCAGCUUGGCAACAGCUUGGCAUGGAGAGGUGGUCCUUGAAGACAAGGCGAACGGAUGAUGUCAUCCCUGAAGAGAGGCCCUAUGGCACCGGAGGGGGCCAGAUUAGAAACCAUCUUAAUGACCUCUAACGGCCAGCACAGGAACAGCAGAGAGAGGGAGGGGACAGUCAGAGGGAGAGGGAGGGGGGAGUAGGAGAGAGGAGGGAGGUGGGAGGGGUUGAGAGGGAAGAGGGAAGGGUAUGGAGAGAGGAGGCAGGAGGGAGGAGGGGGAGGGAACGGGAGAGAGGAAGGGGAGGGGAAAGUAGGAAUGAGGAAAACGGGAGGGGAGGGGGAAGAGGAGAAACGGGAGGGGGAGGAGGGAGAGAAGCGGAAGGGGGAGGAGGGAGAGAAGUGGGAGGGGGUAAGGAAGACUUGACUGACAGGGCACAAGUGUUAGCUGUGUGCGCAUGCGCAACCUGAAGGCCCGUUUAGCGGGCCGAGAGCCAUUUGCAGGCACAGACCGCUAGGGGGCGUCCGGCCAGCAUCCAGAGCCCAAGAGCACAGCCACCUGCGGCGCGCGCCUCGCCGGAGCCUCCCGCGCCCCCGCCCGCGCCUGGCCCGCAGCUGCCAGGGACACAGCUGGCGUAGGAUGGGCGGGGGGCUGCCCAACAGGUCUCUGGCCGGGAGGGGGGGGCACAGCCCACCCCAGCCCAUCACGCAGGGCCACCAUGUCCCCUAAACGCCACGCCCGCCAUCACUAGCCAGAAUCCACCUGUGGACUUCGGGCAGCACUACCUCACAAGCCCAGGGGGCCUUCUGCGCCCCCCUAACUGUGGGGGGGGGGGGUCAACCUACACCAGAGAGACACUCGCCAGAAGGAUCUUUCCAGAACACGAUUCCACUUUUAAUAAGCAAAAACAGAGAGAUCUUGGUCCCGACCUUCGGUAAAUCCAAUUAAAGAUAAAUUAAUUAAAAUUAUAAAGGGCCAGUUCUCAAUACACCGUUUUCACUCACUUUUGUGGUCUCAGGACACAUGAUACAAAAUAUGACAACCUUAGAAAAUAUAAAGACGGCCAAAAUCGUCUAAUAUCAUCCAGACAACCAACGACCCCCCCCCAAAUCUCGCCUCCAUUCUUCGCCAAGACCCCUCACGAUAGCGCCUAAUUAACCAUUUUACCAGCCCUCUUCAGCCUACUCAAAUGAGCCACGUCUUCCUAAGACCCCCUAAACCAUCAUCCAUUGAAAUAAACUGAUCUGCGUCCACGCUCUUCCACGACACCCUAAGUCGCGCAACCAACGCGGAUCACGGCAUCUCUGCUCAGCGCGAAUCCUGCAGCCUCUCUUCC